Sapajus apella (tufted capuchin) is the source of this 98-nucleotide long non-coding RNA. RefSeq lists it as uncharacterized. The transcript is spliced from 3 exons. Lineage: Eukaryota; Metazoa; Chordata; Mammalia; Primates; Cebidae. The record is from RefSeq and is a predicted model, not a curated record.
AGACCUUAACAGAAACCUCACUAAAGGAGUUAUACAGAUGGCAAAUAAGCAAAUGAAAAGAUGCUCUACAUCCUGUCAUCAGAAAGAAACAAAUUGAA